Molecule: transfer RNA, 72 nt
Filed under: Actinomycetota bacterium
Lineage: Bacteria; Bacillati; Actinomycetota
Description: tRNA-Val
Rfam family: tRNA
About the family: Transfer RNA (tRNA) molecules are approximately 80 nucleotides in length.
Source: RNAcentral
GGGCGGUUAGUUCAGCGGGAGAGUGUUCGGCUUACACCCGAGAAGACGGCGGUUCGAACCCGUCACCGCCCA